This 292-nucleotide ribosomal RNA is filed under the name uncultured bacterium. RNAcentral's name for it is "partial 16S ribosomal RNA". It matches the Rfam family "Bacterial small subunit ribosomal RNA", at positions 505 to 796 of the family's 1533-position model. The record is from RNAcentral.
GUGCCAGCAGCCGCGGUAAUACGUAGGGGGCUAGCGUUGUCCGGAAUCAUUGGGCGUAAAGAGCGUGUAGGCGGCCCGGUAAGUCCGCUGUAAAAGUCAAAGGCUCAACCUUUGAAUGUCAGUGGAUACUGCCGGGCUAGAGUCCGGAAGAGGCGAGUGGAACUCCUGGUGUAGCGGUGGAAUGCGCAGAUAUCAGGAAGAACACCAACGGCGAAGGCAGCUCGCUGGGACGGUACUGACGCUGAGACGCGAAAGCGUGGGGAGCGAACAGGAUUAGAUACCCUUGUAGUCC